GCAGGACAGGGUUGUUUCUGGCCAAUAGUUUUGCUAAGUGCCUUUCUUUAGCCCUCCUCUCUUCAAGGCGGGCCCUUGCACUGAGGGAAUUAACUUCACCCAUCUGUCUUCUGAGACCAGUAAUAACUGCCUCUGCUGGUUGCUAGGGAACGCAGCUUUCCCUGCUUGUAACUCUUCCAGCUGAAUCCCCCUCCGGCUGAUGACCCUCCUGUAAUUCCUCUUUGUCCCUGAAAUUCUGGGAAGUGGCUAAGGUUGAGAAGCCCUGAUCUAAUUCACAGAGAUACUGACUCAUGGACAAUGAACCAAAAGCAGCAGCAGCAACCAGACCACAAUCUGCACUGAAAGAGACAGUGGAGCAAUAAUCACAGGUAUCUUGCAAGACCCUGGAAGAGGAGACAGUUCUUUAUCUUUUUGAGGACAGGUAUUGUGUUUCUGUUGUCCUCUACAUUUUUCAAACAGCAAGCCAUACUAUUCAUUAAAAAAAGGUGAAAAAUGCAAAUGGAAGAAAUUGCCCCCUUUGGUAGCUCAAGUCCAAGAUGUAAAGCCAUUUUACAUUACAAAAGACUAUACUGCUGGAAAUUCUAGAUGUUGUAUUACUCAUACUGUUACUGGUUGUUUUUUUUUUAAAGAAGCAACACAAAGGAGUCAUCCUGUAUGUUAAAAACAUCAAUAACUACUCAGAACUUCAAGUGAAUUAGCUUCACAAUCUUCCAGAGAACAUCUGGGUUAAAAAAGUGGAAGAAUAAAUAAAAGCAACAGAGUUGCAGUUAUUUAUUGCUAUCUAUGCAACCAAGAUGAUGAUGUCUUGGUGAUCCUUUCCAAAACAAAUGGUUGAUCUUUGUAAAUGGGAAAUAAAAGUAAUGGGGGACUUUGACUCUCCCACCAUCUGCUAAGAAACAA
Long non-coding RNA from Pantherophis guttatus, 900 nucleotides. RefSeq lists it as uncharacterized. NCBI's taxonomy places the organism in Eukaryota, Metazoa, Chordata, Lepidosauria, Squamata, Colubridae. The record is from RefSeq and is a predicted model, not a curated record.